AAUAGAUACCCCGGUAGUCCACGCCGUAAACGGUGGGUACUAGGUGUGGGUUUCCUUCCUUGGGAUCCGUGCCGUAGCUAGCGCAUUAAGUACCCCGCCUGGGGAGUACGGCCGCAAGGCUAAAACUCAAAGGAAUUGACGGGGGGCCCGCACAAGCGGCGGAGCAUGUGGAUUAAUUCGAUGCAACGCGAAGAACCUUACCUGGGUUUGACAUGCACAGGACGCUGGUAGAGAUAUCAGUUCCCUUGUGGUCUGUGUGCAGGUGGUGCAUGGCUGUCGUCAGCUCGUGUCGUGAGAUGUUGGGUUAAGUCCCGCAACGAGCGCAACCCUUGUCUCAUGUUGCCAGCACGUGAUGGUGGGGACUCGUGAGAGACUGCCGGGGUCAACUCGGAGGAAGGUGGGGAUGACGUCAAGUCAUCAUGCCCCUUAUGUCCAGGGCUUCACACAUGCUACAAUGGCCGGUACAAAGGGCUGCGAUGCCGUGAGGUUAAGCGAAUUCUUUAAAGCCGGUCUCAGUUCGGAUCGGGGU
This 529-nucleotide ribosomal RNA is filed under the name uncultured bacterium. RNAcentral's name for it is "bacterial SSU rRNA". It matches the Rfam family "Bacterial small subunit ribosomal RNA", at positions 777 to 1304 of the family's 1533-position model. The record is from RNAcentral.